ACGCUGGCGGCACGCCUAACACGUGCAAGUCGAACGAAGUAGCAAUACUUAGUGGCAGACGGGUGAGUAACAUGUAGGUAUCUACCCUUUGGCCUGGAAUAACACGAGGAAACUUGUGCUAAUACCGGAUAAGUCUUUACGGAGAAAGCUUUAUGCACCAUUGGAUGAGCCUGCACUUGAUUAGUUUGUUGGUGGGGUAAUGGCCUACCAAGACUGUGAUCAAUAGCUGAUUUGAGAGGAUGAUCAGCCACAUUGGGACUGAGACACGGCCCAAACUCCUACGGGAGGCAGCAGUGGGGAAUCUUGCACAAUGGAGGAAACUCUGAUGCAGCGAUGCCGCGUGAGUGAAGAAGGCCUUUGGGUUGUAAAGCUCUUUCGUCGGGGAAGAAAAUGACUGUACCCGAAUAAGAAGGUCCGGCUAACUUCGUGCCAGCAGCCGCGGUAAUACGAAGGGACCUAGCGUAGUUCGGAAUUACUGGGCUUAAAGAGUUCGUAGGUGGUUGAAAAAGUUAGUGGUGAAAUCCCAGAGCUUAACUCUGGAACUGCCAUUAAAACUUUUCAGCUAGAGUAUGAUAGAGGAAAGCAGAAUUUCUAGUGUAGAGGUGAAAUUCGUAGAUAUUAGAAAGAAUACCAAUUGCGAAGGCAGCUUUCUGGAUCAUUACUGACACUGAGGAACGAAAGCAUGGGUAGCGAAGAGGAUUAGAUACCCUCGUAGUCCAUGCCGUAAACGAUGUGUGUUAGACGUUGGAAAUUUAUUUUCAGUGUCGCAGCGAAAGCGAUAAACACACCGCCUGGGGAGUACGACCGCAAGGUUAAAACUCAAAUGAAUUGACGGGGACCCGCACAAGUAGUGGAGCAUGUGGUUUAAUUCGAAGAUACGCGCAGAACCUUACCAACACUUGACAUGUUCGUCGCGACUCUAAGGGAUUAGAGUUUUCGGUUCGGCCGGACGAAACACAGGUGCUGCAUGGCUGUCGUCAGCUCGUGUCGUGAGAUGUUGGGUUAAGUCCCACAACGAGCGCAACCCUCACUUUUAGUUGCCAUCAUUAAGUUGGGCACUCUGAAAGAACUGCCAGUGAUAAGCUGGAGGAAGGUGGGGAUGACGUCAAGUCCUCAUGGCCCUUACGUGUUGGGCUACACACGUGCUACAAUGGUAUCUACAACAGGAAGCAAGACUGCGAGGUCAAGCAAAUCCUUAAAAGAUACCUCAGUUCGGAUUGCACUCUGCAACUCGAGUGCAUGAAGCUGGAAUUACUAGUAAUCGUGGAUCAGCGUGCCACGGUGAAUGCGUUCCCGGGUCUUGUACACACCGCCCGUCACACCAUGGGAGUUGGUUCUACCUUAAGGCAAGGUUUAAAACCCUUGACCACGGUAUAGUCAGCGACUGGGGUG
Molecule: ribosomal RNA, 1392 nt
Filed under: uncultured marine bacterium
Lineage: Bacteria
Description: 16S ribosomal RNA
Rfam family: Bacterial small subunit ribosomal RNA
Source: RNAcentral